This 207-nucleotide ribosomal RNA is filed under the name uncultured bacterium. Its description in RNAcentral is "partial 16S ribosomal RNA". It matches the Rfam family "Bacterial small subunit ribosomal RNA", at positions 568 to 774 of the family's 1533-position model. The record is from RNAcentral.
UGCGUAGGUGGCGCCGUAAGUCGGGUGUGAAAUUUCGGAGCUUAACUCCGAAACUGCAUUCGAUACUGCGGCGCUUGAGGACUGGAGAGGAGACUGGAAUUCAUGGUGUAGCAGUGAAAUGCGUAGAGAUCAUGAGGAAGACCAGUGGCGAAGGCGGGUCUCUGGACAGUUCCUGACACUGAGGCACGAAGGCCAGGGGAGCAAACG